Molecule: ribosomal RNA, 508 nt
Filed under: uncultured bacterium
Lineage: Bacteria
Description: partial 16S ribosomal RNA
Rfam family: Bacterial small subunit ribosomal RNA
Source: RNAcentral
AUUGAACGCUGGCGGCAUGCCUUACACAUGCAAGUCGAACGGCAGCGGGGGAGAAGCUUGCUUUUCCUGCCGGCGAGGGGCGAACGGGUGAGAAAUACAUCGGAACGCGCCCUGUCGGGGGGGAUAACUAGACGAAAGAGCAGCUAAUACCUCAUACGACCAGAGGGUUAAAGUGGUGGACCGUAAGGCCUCCGCCUAUUGUAACGGCCGAUGUCUGAUUAGCUAGUUGGCAGGGUAAGGGCCCACCAAGGCGACGAUGAGUAGCUGGUCUGAGAGGACGAUCAGCCACACUGGGACUGAGACACGGCCCAGACUCCUACGGGAGGCAGCAGUGGGGAAUUUUGGACAAUGGGCGCAAGCCUGAUCCAGCCAUGCCGCGUGAGGGAAGAAGGCCUUCGGGUUGUAAACCGCUUUUGGCAGGAACGAAAAGGCGCAAGCCAAUACAUUGCGCUAAUGACGGUACCUGCAGAAUAAGCAACGGCUAACUACGUGCCAGCAGCCGCAGUAA